This 253-nucleotide ribosomal RNA is filed under the name uncultured bacterium. RNAcentral describes it as "partial 16S ribosomal RNA". It matches the Rfam family "Bacterial small subunit ribosomal RNA", at positions 524 to 776 of the family's 1533-position model. The record is from RNAcentral.
UACGAAGGGGGCUAGCGUUGCUCGGAAUCACUGGGCGUAAAGGGUGCGUAGGCGGGUCUUUAAGUCAGGGGUGAAAUCCUGGAGCUCAACUCCAGAACUGCCUUUGAUACUGAGGAUCUUGAGUUCGGGAGAGGUGAGUGGAACUGCGAGUGUAGAGGUGAAAUUCGUAGAUAUUCGCAAGAACACCAGUGGCGAAGGCGGCUCACUUGCCCGAUACUGACGCUGAGGCACGAAAGCGUGGGGAGCAAACAGG